UAGUUACUCCCUCCGUUUGGAAUUACUUGUCGUAGAAAUGGAUGUAUCUAGAUGUAUUUUAGUUCUAGAUACAUCCAUUUUCGAGGCAAGUAAUUCCGAACGGAGGGAGUACUUU
Non-coding RNA from Triticum aestivum (bread wheat), 115 nucleotides. NCBI's taxonomy places the organism in Eukaryota, Viridiplantae, Streptophyta, Magnoliopsida, Poales, Poaceae. The record is from Rfam.